AAAUUGAAGAGUUUGAUCAUGGCUCAGAUUGAACGCUGGCGGCAGGCCUAACACAUGCAAGUCGAACGGUAACAGGAAGCAGCUUGCUGCUUCGCUGACGAGUGGCGGACGGGUGAGUAAUGUCUGGGAAACUGCCUAAUGGAGGGGGAUAACUACUGGAAACGGUGGCUAAUACCGCAUAACGUCGCAAGACCAAAGAGGGGGACCUUCGGGCCUCUUGCCAUCAGAUGUGCCCAGAUGGGAUUAGCU
This 249-nucleotide ribosomal RNA is filed under the name Salmonella enterica. Its description in RNAcentral is "partial 16S ribosomal RNA". It matches the Rfam family "Bacterial small subunit ribosomal RNA", at positions 1 to 246 of the family's 1533-position model. Lineage: Bacteria; Pseudomonadati; Pseudomonadota; Gammaproteobacteria; Enterobacterales; Enterobacteriaceae. The record is from RNAcentral. RNAcentral also lists the same sequence under 5 other names.